GACGAACGCUGGCGGCGUGCCUAAUACAUGCAAGUCGAGCGGACUUAAAAAGCUUGCUUUUUAAGUUAGCGGCGGACGGGUGAGUAACACGUGGGCAACCUGCCUGUAAGACUGGGAUAACUUCGGGAAACCGGAGCUAAUACCGGAUAAUCCUUUUCUACUCAUGUAGAAAAGCUGAAAGACGGUUUACGCUGUCACUUACAGAUGGGCCCGCGGCGCAUUAGCUAGUUGGUGAGGUAACGGCUCACUAAGGCGACGAUGCGUAGCCGACCUGAGAGGGUGAUCGGCCACACUGGGACUGAGACACGGCCCAGACUCCUACGGGAGGCAGCAGUAGGGAAUCUUCCGCAAUGGACGAAAGUCUGACGGAGCAACGCCGCGUGAGUGAUGAAGGUUUUCGGAUCGUAAAACUCUGUUGUUAGGGAAGAACAAGUACGAGAGUAACUGCUCGUACCUUGACGGUACCUAACCAGAAAGCCACGGCUAACUACGUG
RNAcentral lists this ribosomal RNA (494 nucleotides) under uncultured bacterium. RNAcentral describes it as "partial 16S ribosomal RNA". It matches the Rfam family "Bacterial small subunit ribosomal RNA", at positions 28 to 507 of the family's 1533-position model. The record is from RNAcentral.